This is a non-coding RNA of Microcebus murinus (gray mouse lemur), 1157 nucleotides long. The record is from RefSeq and is a predicted model, not a curated record. Lineage: Eukaryota; Metazoa; Chordata; Mammalia; Primates; Cheirogaleidae.
CCUCCCAAAGAAAGUGGAAGCGUCCUUUGGUAGCCACCCAUCAGUCUCUCACUGGGUAAAUGACUUGCUUAGGGCGGGGAGAACCAGAUCAAGAACCAGAGUAAGGGAGCCUUGGUCCUUACUUCCUGGUCCUCGCGUAGACAAGGCAAAGCUGAGGGGCGGAGCCAACCCUGAGGUGGGCUACGUACACAAUCCUUCCGACCUGGGAAACGCGUCUCGCCACAGAUUUGUCUUCCAUACUCUGCUUCACCACCACCUGGUCCCACAAGGCAUAUACCUUCGGUUCAAAUCAACGUCCCCCACACUUUCCACUGCAAAGGUGGAUUCCUGCUAGAGAUGCCUGGAACUGGCAGUGCAGCAGCUCAAGAAUCCAGAAUGGAAGCUGACUUCACUCACUAUUCCAUCUUUCUUUCUCCAAGGCAGCAAACUCUAUGCCUCCUCCCCAGAGAAAAGCCUAACCACAGGUCCUAACGGACCAGAGCUCACUGUAGCUGAUCAGAAAGGCCUAUAUGCAGAAGUCCCAGUAUCACCACUCAGCUUCCUAACUAGGGAAAACAGCUAGGCCCCUUUGGGUCUUAGAUAGGAUAAGGGCAGAGAUCUGAACAUGCCUGGGCUAAGUGACGUGUGGGAAAACAGCGGCAGAGGGCGGCAGGGUGGAGCAGAAAAGGGCCAUAACUUUAUUUGUAUUUCCUCUUACACAAAACCAUCAAAACAAAAACAGAGAAGUCUGAGAAAGGGCUGAAAAUUUGUUCCAACCACAUGUUCUCUGGACUAUUCCAGGAGCUCUUGAGGCUGAGUGCGUUGCUUGAGAUCCAGCACUAAAUCCUCACACCCUGGCCUGAGGUCUUCACAGUGGAAGAAAAUAGUUGAAGCAAAUACAGAAAAAGAAGAGGACUAAAGACUACCACUUCAUUCCAAAAGAGUGGUUUUUUUACCUCAGGAUCACGGUCCUUUUCCCGACAGGCUCGGACCUCAUUGUACAGCUUGGAGGAGGAGAUGGGAGCCAGGAAGGAGGUGUACUCCCCAGGAAUGCUCACGCCAUCAUCUGCAGAGUAGGAAGGUCAAAUUAGUUCCCGAGGGAGGGAAAUAUUGUAUCUGUACAAAAUGAAGGCUCAACUCUCCCAUGUCAAAAUAGACCAAGGCACAUGCACCACCGA